This 253-nucleotide ribosomal RNA is filed under the name uncultured bacterium. RNAcentral's name for it is "partial 16S ribosomal RNA". It matches the Rfam family "Bacterial small subunit ribosomal RNA", at positions 524 to 776 of the family's 1533-position model. The record is from RNAcentral.
UACGUAGGGUGCAGGCGUUAAUCGGAAUUACUGGGCGUAAAGAGCUCGUAGGCGGUUUGUCGCGUCUGCUGUGAAAACUGGAGGCUCAACCUCCAGCCUGCAGUGGGUACGGGCAGACUAGAGUGCGGUAGGGGAGAUUGGAACUCCUGGUGUAGCGGUGGAAUGCGCAGAUAUCAGGAAGAACACCGAUGGCGAAGGCAGAUCUCUGGGCCGUAACUGACGCUGAGGAGCGAAAGCGUGGGGAGCGAACAGG